This 963-nucleotide small RNA is filed under the name uncultured bacterium. RNAcentral describes it as "bacterial SSU rRNA". The stretch from base 1 to 485 matches the Rfam family "Bacterial small subunit ribosomal RNA", at positions 1045 to 1533 of the family's 1533-position model. The record is from RNAcentral.
AUGGCUGUCGUCAGCUCGUGUCGUGAGAUGUUGGGUUAAGUCCCGCAACGAGCGCAACCCCCGUGUUCUGUUGCCACCCAGAUGUAAAUCUGGAGCACUCUGGACAGACUGCCUGGUUUCAACUAGGAGGAAGGUGGGGAUGACGUCAAGUCAGUAUGGCCCUUACGGCCAGGGCUGCACACGUACUACAAUGCCUGAUAUAAUGGGAAGCAAGACCGCGAGGUGGAGCAAAUCCUCAAAAUCAGGCCCAGUUCAGAUUGUAGGCUGCAACUCGCCUACAUGAAGGAGGAAUCGCUAGUAAUGCCGUAUCAGCUACGACGGCGUGAAUACGUUCCCAGGCCUUGUACACACCGCCCGUCAAGCCAUGGAAGCUGGGAGUGCCUGAAGUCGGUCACCGCAAGGAGCCGCCUAGGGUAAAACUGGUAACUAGGGCUAAGUCGUAACAAGGUAGCCGUAGGGGAACCUGCGGCUGGAUCACCUCCUUUCUGGAGAUGCCGAGUAAGAUUUCCGAACCUUUCGGGGAGGCGAAAUUCGAAAAGCUCUCACAGGUCUACCCGCUCAACUACACUCAAAACCUCGAUCUUCAUAUAAAAUGGCCAGGUGCAUGCAUUCAGGUGUACCAGGUCAUGCUGUUUGACAACAAAGGUCGAGAGAUGAAGUGAGAGCCUUAGGUGGCCCUGAACUUUUUAUUUGUCCGAGUUCAGGUGCCAAAUCUAUUGAAGUAUUAGCUGUGACGGCUUUUUGGUGAAAGCAAACUGGAAUAGGGGAUUGAACUUCCCGUUCACACAUGGAGCUCGGGUGCUCAGGCAUUUGAGAUCCGCGUGGGAUUCUGGUCAAGUAAGUAAGUGCGCAGUGGUGGAUGCCUAGGUACGUGUCGGCGAUGAAGGACGUGGCAAGCUGCGAUAAGCCUCGGGGAGCUGCAAGCAAGCUUAGAUCCGGGGAUGUCCGAAUGGGGAAACCCGG